This 443-nucleotide ribosomal RNA is filed under the name uncultured bacterium. RNAcentral's name for it is "partial 16S ribosomal RNA". It matches the Rfam family "Bacterial small subunit ribosomal RNA", at positions 28 to 507 of the family's 1533-position model. The record is from RNAcentral.
GAUGAACGCUGGCGGCAUGCCUAACACAUGCAAGUCGAUCGGUAAGGCUCUUCGGAGUACACGAGAGGCGGACGGCUGAGUAACGCGUAGGAACACACCCUGCAGUGAGGGAUAAGACACCGAAAGGUGUUCUAAUACCGCAUACGGUCUUCGGAUUAAAGCAUUUAUGCGCUGAAGGAGUGGCCUGCGUCAUAUUAGAUAGUUGGUGAGGUAAUGGCUCACCAAGUCGAUGAUGUGUAGCUGGUCUGAGAGGAUGAUCAGCCAGACUGGAACUGAGACACGGUCCAGACUCCUACGGGAGGCAGCAGUGAGGAAUAUUUCACAAUGAGCGAAAGCUUGAUGGAGCAAUGCCGCGUGCAGGAUGAAGGCCCUCGGGUUGUAAACUGCUUUUAUAAGAGAAGAUUAUGACGGUAACUUAUGAAUAAGGGACGGCUAACUACGUG